UUUUCAGACAAAUCCUAUUUGAUCAACAAAAAUACAAUCUAGGUCUUCUAAACAUUAUUUUACAAUAAAACCUCACCACAAACUAUUUAUAAUCGUACCUGAGAUCCCAAAAUAUGUGAAUAAGUCUUUGACCUCCAAAUUCCAAUUCUUUCUUCAAACUUCGUCUUCUAACUCUUCAAGACUCCAUUCAAACUUCACGAAAGUCGCCAACGAAAAAAAAAAUGUUAAC
This 229-nucleotide long non-coding RNA is filed under the name Ananas comosus (pineapple). RNAcentral's name for it is "long non-coding RNA (ACOM_LNC003544)". Lineage: Eukaryota; Viridiplantae; Streptophyta; Magnoliopsida; Poales; Bromeliaceae. The record is from RNAcentral.